This 460-nucleotide ribosomal RNA is filed under the name uncultured bacterium. Its description in RNAcentral is "partial 16S ribosomal RNA". It matches the Rfam family "Bacterial small subunit ribosomal RNA", at positions 338 to 795 of the family's 1533-position model. The record is from RNAcentral.
CCUACGGGUGACAGCAGUGAGGAAUAUUGGUCACUGGCCGGAAGGCUGAACCAGCCAAGUCGCGUGAGGGACGACUGCCCUAUGUGUUGUAAACCUCUUUUUUCAGGGAAGAAUCACUGCUAUGUGUCGCCUGCUGCCUGUACCUUAUGAAUAAGCAUCGGCUAACUCCGUGCCAGCAGCCGCGGUAAGACGGAGUGUGCGAGCGUUAAUCGGACUUACUGGGCGUAAAGCGCGCGUAGGCGGUCUAGCAAGUCAAGGGUUAAAUCCCCGGGCGUAACGUGGGAACUGCCUUUGAAACUGGCAAACUGGAGUGUGUGAGAGGAUAGUGGAAUUCGAGGUGUAGGAGUGAAAUCCGUAGAUAUCGGGAGGAACAUCAGUGGCGAAGGCGACUAGCUGGAACAUAACUGACGCUGAGGAGCGAAAGCGUGGGUAGCAAACAGGAUUAGAUACCCUUGUAGUC